GCAUAUAAGACAGACUUCUUCCCAGUAAGGUCCCAUGCCUUUAUUAAAUUUGUUUUAAUCAUGGACAACACAUUAGCCUAUAGACUGUAAAUAACUUGGGCUGAAGACUUCCAAAAAUUUGAAUGCAUAUUUGUUCCAUGAUAACUUAUGCUUUCCUACCUUUUUUUCUUUUUUUAUUUGUUUUAAUUUUUUUCAUCAUUAAUAUUUUGAGAUUAAAAUGACAAGGUUUGAUUGUGAUAUUUAACUCUACCUAUUGUAAAGUUAGAUAAACUGUGAGAAUGCACAUGUUUCUCUAUCUUUUGUUGAUAUUGAAUUUUUUGUUCUGGGCUAUCAGCAUGCUUUAUGGUUGUAGUUUAGCUGUUAGUGGUGAACUUGUGAUAGCCUAAUAGACCACUCCAGGAUCAAUAGUGGUUCUACUUUAGCUAUUGGUAGUGAACUUGUGAUAGACUACUCCAUUAUCGAUUUUCAUUGCCUGUUAAUUUUCCAGAGGGUAUUUGGAGUAUCAACUCUG
RNAcentral lists this unclassified non-coding RNA (511 nucleotides) under Hevea brasiliensis (rubber tree). Lineage: Eukaryota; Viridiplantae; Streptophyta; Magnoliopsida; Malpighiales; Euphorbiaceae. The record is from RNAcentral.